GACAGUGAGCACGCUUUGGUGUGGUCUUCACUGCGUUUGGUUUUGUUUCUGAUCUUGUGUUCUAAGGUACUCAGUGAAUCCUGGAUUCUGAGUAAGUUCCAGUGUUCUGGCCUUGCAGCCUUGGACAAUACACAUUUCAAACAAAACCAAAUGCUCUUGUCGACAAGCCAGCACAGGCAAAGCGACAGCUCACACAGCACCCCCAGUAGAAUGGGAUCUUGAAUGUGGCUCUGCAAGUUAAACAUCUCUGUGUGUCGUGUAUGCUAGGUGAUACCCUUAGAAGGGACUGACUACUAGACUGUAAGUGUGCUUUAUAAAAGUGUGUAAGACUAAAACUCACGUGCACGAAUCGAAGCGUAAAGAGACGAUACCUAUGAACGUGUGUGAACGUUAACACUGUAGUUGCUAGAUCUUCAGCUGCUAAUUGUUGAGAGAGAAUUCAGUUCUGUUCUGUCUGGCUGCUGUGGCUUCUCAGCAGCACCUUUGCUGUACAUAAAAUGAAAAUAAAGACCUCAGCUAGAAACCUGCCAA
This 531-nucleotide long non-coding RNA is filed under the name Rattus norvegicus (Norway rat). RNAcentral's name for it is "long non-coding RNA NONRATT021728". Lineage: Eukaryota; Metazoa; Chordata; Mammalia; Rodentia; Muridae. The record is from RNAcentral.